AGAGUUUGAUCCUGGCUCAGGAUGAACGCUGGCGGCGUGCCUAAUACAUGCAAGUCGAGCGAACAGACGAGGAGCUUGCUCCUUUGACGUUAGCGGCGGACGGGUGAGUAACACGUGGGUAACCUACCUAUAAGACUGGGAUAACUUCGGGAAACCGGAGCUAAUACCGGAUAAUAUUUUGAACCGCAUGGUUCAAAAGUGAGAGACGGUCUUGCUGUCACUUAUAGAUGGAUCCGCGCUGCAUUAGCUAGUUGGUAAGGUAACGGCUUACCAAGGCAACGAUGCAUAGCCGACCUGAGAGGGUGAUCGGCCACACUGGAACUGAGACACGGUCCAGACUCCUACGGGAGGCAGCAGUAGGGAAUCUUCCGCAAUGGGCGAAAGCCUGACGGAGCAACGCCGCGUGAGUGAUGAAAGUCUUCGGAUCGUAAAACUCUGUUAUUAGGGAAGAACAUAUGUGUAAGUAACUGUGCACAUCUUGACGGUACCUAAUCAGAAAGCCACGGCUAACUACGUGCCAGCAGCCGCGGUAAUACGUAGGUGGCAAGCGUUAUCCGGAAUUAUUGGGCGUAAAGCGCGCGUAGGCGGUUUUUUAAGUCUGAUGUGAAAGCCCACGGCUCAACCGUGGAGGGUCAUUGGAAACUGGAAAACUUGAGUGCAGAAGAGGAAAGUGGAAUUCCAUGUGUAGCGGUGAAAUGCGCAGAGAUAUGGAGGAACACCAGUGGCGAAGGCGACUUUCUGGUCUGUAACUGACGCUGAUGUGCGAAAGCGUGGGGAUCAAACAGGAUUAGAUACCCUGGUAGUCC
This 806-nucleotide ribosomal RNA is filed under the name uncultured bacterium. RNAcentral's name for it is "bacterial SSU rRNA". It matches the Rfam family "Bacterial small subunit ribosomal RNA", at positions 8 to 796 of the family's 1533-position model. The record is from RNAcentral.